This 71-nucleotide transfer RNA is filed under the name Loxodonta africana (African savanna elephant). It matches the Rfam family "tRNA". Rfam says of the family: Transfer RNA (tRNA) molecules are approximately 80 nucleotides in length. Their secondary structure includes four short double-helical elements and three loops (D, anti-codon, and T loops). Further hydrogen bonds mediate the characteristic L-shaped molecular structure. tRNAs have two regions of fundamental functional importance: the anti-codon, which is responsible for specific mRNA codon recognition, and the 3' end, to which the tRNAs corresponding amino acid is attached (by aminoacyl-tRNA synthetases). tRNAs cope with the degeneracy of the genetic code in two manners: having more than one tRNA (with a specific anti-codon) for a particular amino acid; and 'wobble' base-pairing, i.e. permitting non-standard base-pairing at the 3rd anti-codon position. Lineage: Eukaryota; Metazoa; Chordata; Mammalia; Proboscidea; Elephantidae. The record is from Rfam by way of RNAcentral.
GCAUUCGUGGUUCAGUGGUAGAAGUCUUGCCUCCCAUGCAGGAGACUUGGGUUUGAUUCCAGGCCAACGCA